Molecule: non-coding RNA, 90 nt
Organism: Pluteus cervinus
Lineage: Eukaryota; Fungi; Basidiomycota; Agaricomycetes; Agaricales; Pluteaceae
Source: the annotation of a GenBank genome assembly
UCACGGGUGGUGUAGUGGAAGCACACUUGGACGAGCAGUGACUAGGUCAAGCUGGUUCAGAGAGCAGGGGUUCGAAUCCCUUCCCGUGCC